GUGCUUCCUUUGGCAGCACAUAUUAUAAAAUUGGAAUUAUACAGAAAAAAUUAGCAUGGCCUCUAUGCUAUGACAUGCAAAUACAUAAAGUGUUCAUAUUUUUG
Molecule: small nuclear RNA, 104 nt
Organism: Phascolarctos cinereus (koala)
Lineage: Eukaryota; Metazoa; Chordata; Mammalia; Diprotodontia; Phascolarctidae
Source: Ensembl